CCCUUAGAUGUUCUGGGCCGCACGCGCGCUACACUGACGGAGCCAACGAGCACUUUCCUUGUCCGGAAGGACUGGGUAAUCUUGUGAAACUUCGUCGUGCUGGGGAUAGAGCAUUGCAAUUAUUGCUCUUCAACGAGGAAUUCCUAGUAAGCGUGAGUCAUCAGCUCGCGUUGAUUACGUCCCUGCCCUUUGUACACACCGCCCGUCGCUACUACCGAUUGAAUGGCUUAGUGAGCCUUUGGGAUUGGCAGCUUGUACCGGCAACGGUAGCAGGCCGCUGAAAACUUAGGCAAACUUGGUCAUUUAGAGGAAGUAAAAGUCGUAACA
This 327-nucleotide ribosomal RNA is filed under the name uncultured eukaryote. RNAcentral's name for it is "partial 18S ribosomal RNA". It matches the Rfam family "Eukaryotic small subunit ribosomal RNA", at positions 1470 to 1796 of the family's 1831-position model. The record is from RNAcentral.